AGCAACGGUAAUCGGAUUACUGGGCGUAAGCGCACGCAGGCGGUUUGUUAAGUCAGAUGUGAAAUCCCCGGGCUCAACCUGGGAACUGCAUCUGAUACUGGCAAGCUUGAGUCUCGUAGAGGGGGGUAGAAUUCCAGGUGUAGCGGUGAGAUGCGUAGAGAUCUGGAGGAAUACCGGUGGCGAAGGCGGCCCCCUGGACGAAGACUGACGCUCAGGUGCGAAAGCGUGGGGAGCAAACAGGAUUAGAUACCCUGGUAGUCCACGCCGUAAACGAUGUCGACUUGGAGGUUGUGCCCUUGAGGCGUGGCUUCCGGAGCUAACGCGUUAAGUCGACCGCCUGGGGAGUACGGCCGCAAGGUUAAAACUCAAAUGAAUUGACGGGGGCCCGCACAAGCGGUGGAGCAUGUGGUUUAAUUCGAUGCAACGCGAAGAACCUUACCUGGUCUUUGACAUC
Molecule: ribosomal RNA, 454 nt
Filed under: uncultured Shigella sp.
Lineage: Bacteria; Pseudomonadati; Pseudomonadota; Gammaproteobacteria; Enterobacterales; Enterobacteriaceae
Description: bacterial SSU rRNA
Rfam family: Bacterial small subunit ribosomal RNA
Source: RNAcentral